CCUACGGGAGGCAGCAGUGAGGAAUAUUGGUCAAUGGACGAGAGUCUGAACCAGCCAAGUAGCGUGAAGGAUGACUGCCCUAUGGGUUGUAAACUUCUUUUAUAAAGGAAUAAAACGAGGCACGUGUGCCGUUUUGCAUGUACUGUAUGAAUAAGGAUCGGCUAACUCCGUGCCAGCAGCCGCGGUAAUACGGAGGAUCCGAGCGUUAUCCGGAUUUAUUGGGUUGAAAGGGAGCGUAGAGGGGUUGUUAAGUCAGUUGUGAAAGUUUUCGGCUCAACCGUAAAAUUGCAAUUGAUACUGGCAGUCUUGAGUACAGUUGAGGUAGGCGGAAUUCGUGUUGUAGCGGUGAACUGCUUAGAUCUCACG
This 366-nucleotide ribosomal RNA is filed under the name uncultured bacterium. RNAcentral describes it as "partial 16S ribosomal RNA". It matches the Rfam family "Bacterial small subunit ribosomal RNA", at positions 338 to 701 of the family's 1533-position model. The record is from RNAcentral.